Molecule: ribosomal RNA, 1436 nt
Filed under: uncultured organism
Description: SSU rRNA
Rfam family: Bacterial small subunit ribosomal RNA
Source: RNAcentral
UGCAGGCUUAACACAUGCAAGUCGAGGGGCAUCAGGAAGAAAGCUUGCUUUCUUUGCUGGCGACCGGCGCACGGGUGAGUAACACGUAUCCAACCUGCCCUUUACUCGGGGAUAGCCUUUCGAAAGAAAGAUUAAUACCCGAUAGCAUAAUGAUUCCGCAUGGUUUCAUUAUUAAAGGAUUCCGGUAAAGGAUGGGGAUGCGUUCCAUUAGGUUGUUGGUGGGGUAACGGCCCACCAAGCCUUCGAUGGAUAGGGGUUCUGAGAGGAAGGUCCCCCACAUUGGAACUGAGACACGGUCCAAACUCCUACGGGAGGCAGCAGUGAGGAAUAUUGGUCAAUGGGCGCUAGCCUGAACCAGCCAAGUAGCGUGAAGGAUGAAGGCUCUAUGGGUCGUAAACUUCUUUUAUAUAAGAAUAAAGUGCAGUAUGUAUACUGUUUUGUAUGUAUUAUAUGAAUAAGGAUCGGCUAACUCCGUGCCAGCAGCCGCGGUAAUACGGAGGAUCCGAGCGUUAUCCGGAUUUAUUGGGUUUAAAGGGAGCGUAGGUGGACUGGUAAGUCAGUUGUGAAAGUUUGCGGCUCAACCGUAAAAUUGCAGUUGAUACUGUCAGUCUUGAGUACAGUAGAGGUGGGCGGAAUUCGUGGUGUAGCGGUGAAAUGCUUAGAUAUCACGAAGAACUCCGAUUGCGAAGGCAGCUCACUGGACUGCAACUGACACUGAUGCUCGAAAGUGUGGGUAUCAAACAGGAUUAGAUACCCUGGUAGUCCACACAGUAAACGAUGAAUACUCGCUGUUUGCGAUAUACAGUAAGCGGCCAAGCGAAAGCAUUAAGUAUUCCACCUGGGGAGUACGCCGGCAACGGUGAAACUCAAAGGAAUUGACGGGGGCCCGCACAAGCGGAGGAACAUGUGGUUUAAUUCGAUGAUACGCGAGGAACCUUACCCGGGCUUAAAUUGCAGUGGAAUGAUGUGGAAACAUGUCAGUGAGCAAUCACCGCUGUGAAGGUGCUGCAUGGUUGUCGUCAGCUCGUGCCGUGAGGUGUCGGCUUAAGUGCCAUAACGAGCGCAACCCUUAUCUUCAGUUACUAACAGGUCAUGCUGAGGACUCUGGAGAGACUGCCGUCGUAAGAUGUGAGGAAGGUGGGGAUGACGUCAAAUCAGCACGGCCCUUACGUCCGGGGCUACACACGUGUUACAAUGGGGGGUACAGAAGGCAGCUAGCGGGUGACCGUAUGCUAAUCCCAAAAUCCUCUCUCAGUUCGGAUCGAAGUCUGCAACCCGACUUCGUGAAGCUGGAUUCGCUAGUAAUCGCGCAUCAGCCACGGCGCGGUGAAUACGUUCCCGGGCCUUGUACACACCGCCCGUCAAGCCAUGGGAGCCGGGGGUACCUGAAGUACGUAACCGCAAGGAUCGUCCUAGGGUAAAACUGGUGACUGGGG